Molecule: ribosomal RNA, 253 nt
Filed under: uncultured bacterium
Lineage: Bacteria
Description: partial 16S ribosomal RNA
Rfam family: Bacterial small subunit ribosomal RNA
Source: RNAcentral
UACGAAGGGGGCUAGCGUUGCUCGGAAUUACUGGGCGUAAAGGGAGCGUAGGCGGAUAGUUUAGUCAGAGGUGAAAGCCCAGGGCUCAACCUUGGAAUUGCCUUUGAUACUGGCUAUCUUGAGUAUGGGAGAGGUGUGUGGAACUCCGAGUGUAGAGGUGAAAUUCGUAGAUAUUCGGAAGAACACCAGUGGCGAAGGCGGCUCACUGGCCCGAUACUGACGCUGAGGUGCGAAAGCGUGGGGAGCAAACAGG